This is a long non-coding RNA of Mus musculus (house mouse), 347 nucleotides long. RefSeq annotates it as predicted gene, 33797. The transcript is spliced from 3 exons. Lineage: Eukaryota; Metazoa; Chordata; Mammalia; Rodentia; Muridae. The record is from RefSeq and is a predicted model, not a curated record.
GCUCGGAAUGCCUGCAACCCUUAUUACGGCAUUCUCUCAUUGUGACUUCUACUCAGGUGCAGUCUCCAAACAUGCUGAAAGUGUUCUGCUCUGUGCUGCAGUAGGAAGACACCCGUCCCCCUAUCAACACCUCUGGUCUCCAUUAUGGGAUCUUCUUAAGUGGUUAAGAUCCAGUCCAAAGCCUUGUAGAAGCCAAGCAAGUACUCUGCGACUGAGCUAUACCCUCAGCAUUUUGGGUCAGCAAUUCUCGAUUGUCACCUCUGGUGUCAUGUGAUUGAUACUCCAGGACACGAUACUUACGGUACAUUUGUCCUCAUCUGCAAGGAAGCAUGGCGGUAUCCACUUUG